CCUACGGGAGGCAGCAGUGAGGAAUAUUGGUCAAUGGACGAGAGUCUGAACCAGCCAAGUAGCGUGAAGGAUGACUGCCCUAUGGGUUGUAAACUUCUUUUAUAAAGGAAUAAAACGAGGCACGUGUGCCUUUUUGCAUGUACUUUAUGAAUAAGGAUCGGCUAACUCCGUGCCAGCAGCCGCGGUAAUACGGAGGAUCCGAGCGUUAUCCGGAUUUAUUGGGUUUAAAGGGAGCGUAGAUGGGUUGUUAAGUCAGUUGUGAAAGUUUGCGGCUCAACCGUAAAAUUGCAAUUGAUACUGGCAGUCUUGAGUACAGUUGAGGGAGGCGGAAUUCGUGGUGUAGCGGUGAAAUGCUUAGAUAUCACGAAGAACCCCGAUUGCGAAGGCAGCUUACUAAACUGUGACUGACAUUGAUGCUCGAAAGUGUGGGUAGCAAACAGGAUUAGAUACCCUAGUAGUC
This 460-nucleotide ribosomal RNA is filed under the name uncultured bacterium. RNAcentral describes it as "partial 16S ribosomal RNA". It matches the Rfam family "Bacterial small subunit ribosomal RNA", at positions 338 to 795 of the family's 1533-position model. The record is from RNAcentral.